Long non-coding RNA from Cygnus olor (mute swan), 1169 nucleotides. RefSeq lists it as uncharacterized. The record is from RefSeq and is a predicted model, not a curated record. The transcript has 3 exons. NCBI's taxonomy places the organism in Eukaryota, Metazoa, Chordata, Aves, Anseriformes, Anatidae.
GCCAAAAAUCAGUGAGUUCCAUUCCAAAAAUAAUGGUGGACAUAAUAUGGCAUUUGACCUACAUAGAAAACAAAGUUCUAGUGACCUUUUCUUUGAUAAAUUCUAAGUCCUUAUUUUUUGGAGCAUAGGCUUGCAAAAGGGUGGAAAAAGAAUUUUUUGCAAGAGAUGUCUCCUUUGUUGCUCCUGCAAAAAUCUAUCAGAAACAAGUCAAAACAAGUCUUAACACGUUAAGUCAGACUUUGAAAAAAGUAAAGGCAUUCUCCCAAAAGUGAGGCAGCUGCACUGCCUAUGCCUUCUGACUCCAUCUUUCUGAGCCAAACUCUGGGCAGAAUGAAACCACUGCAUGGGGAUGGAUGGAGAAUGGGGCAGGAGACAAAGCACGUUUGUGAAAGAGACAUAGAUGGGAGAUAAGCAUGUUAGGGAUGGAGGGAUGAAUGGGAGGCAAACAUGUUAGGGGGGUGAGGGGAUCUGGAGUUUUACACAAAACCACAACAGAAAAUCUAUUGAUCACAGUUAGGCACCUACAGAGGUUAACUGUCCAAGUCACAAAAAGAAAAAAAAAAUAUAUACAUAUAUAUAUUUAAUCAAAAAAAAACCUAUUAAGCAUCCAUGAAGAAGCCACUGCAGUUCUACAGUGAGGAAGGACUGGGGGGUAUGUGUAGAUGUACUCACAGCUACCUUGCCCUUCCUAUGUCACACAACCCUAGUCUAUGACAAGUGUUCUCUGUCAUCACCUCCCCACCCCCCACACACUCCCCCCAAUAAUCCAAAACUUGAAACACCAAUGAUGAUAGAAGAAGCUCUCCUGUAAUAAUUGAUAUUUAAAUCCAAUACAGAGGUGCUAUAUAGAAGGCAGCAUCACUGACUUUGACGGCCAAAAACUCCAUAAGACUCCAUGAAAGACAGCUAACCCUUACCUAACAAGUUUUCUGUAUAAAGAUAUUCUGUACAGCACUAAUUCCUAGGUCUGAAUAACGUCUUCAGAAAUGUAACAAUAUGGAGUCAUUACACUAUGAUAACAGAUUGGAUCAGAUAAUAUCACAAGACUACUUAAUGCUGUACAUUUUUGAAAAAUGUUCCUAUCUCUAAGCAACAAAGAGGCCUUUAUUUUUUUUUCUGGUAAGGGAAGUCUUUUCUUACCAUUCUAUAUUAAAGAAUAUGUCCUACAC